RNAcentral lists this ribosomal RNA (497 nucleotides) under uncultured bacterium. RNAcentral's name for it is "partial 16S ribosomal RNA". It matches the Rfam family "Bacterial small subunit ribosomal RNA", at positions 28 to 507 of the family's 1533-position model. The record is from RNAcentral.
GAUGAACGCUGGCGGCGUGCCUAAUACAUGCAAGUCGAGCGAACAGACGAGGAGCUUGCUCCUCUGACGUUAGCGGCGGACGGGUGAGUAACACGUGGAUAACCUACCUAUAAGACUGGGAUAACUUCGGGAAACCGGAGCUAAUACCGGAUAAUAUAUUGAACCGCAUGGUUCAAUAGUGAAAGACGGUUUUGCUGUCACUUAUAGAUGGAUCCGCGCCGCAUUAGCUAGUUGGUAAGGUAACGGCUUACCAAGGCGACGAUGCGUAGCCGACCUGAGAGGGUGAUCGGCCACACUGGAACGGAGACACGGUCCAGACUCCUACGGGAGGCAGCAGUAGGGAAUCUUCCGCAAUGGGCGAAAGCCUGACGGAGCAACGCCGCGUGAGUGAUGAAGGUCUUCGGAUCGUAAAACGCUGUUAUUAGGGAAGAACAAAUGUGUAAGUAACUAUGCACGUCUUGACGGUACCUAAUCAGAAAGCCACGGCUAACUACGUG